GGCGCACGGGUGCGUAACGCGUGGGAAUCUGCCCUUGGGUUCGGAAUAACAGUGAGAAAUUACUGCUAAUACCGGAUGAUGUCUUCGGACCAAAGAUUUAUCGCCCAGGGAUGAGCCCGCGUAGGAUUAGGUAGUUGGUGGGGUAAUGGCCUACCAAGGCGACGAUCCUUAGCUGGUCUGAGAGGAUGAUCAGCCACACUGGGACUGAGACACGGCCCAGACUCCUACGGGAGGCAGCAGUGGGGAAUAUUGGACAAUGGGCGAAAGCCUGAUCCAGCAAUGCCGCGUGAGUGAUGAAGGCCUUAGGGUUGUAAAGCUCUUUUACCAGGGAUGAUAAUGACAGUACCUGGAGAAUAAGCUCCGGCUAACUCCGUGCCAGCAGCCGGCGGUAAUA
RNAcentral lists this ribosomal RNA (394 nucleotides) under uncultured bacterium. RNAcentral's name for it is "bacterial SSU rRNA". It matches the Rfam family "Bacterial small subunit ribosomal RNA", at positions 97 to 525 of the family's 1533-position model. The record is from RNAcentral.